AUCAGAUUGAUUGAAGAUCUGUUGAUUGAUUGAAGGUGAUUUCGAAGUUCAACCUUCUUCAGCUCCGUGAUUCAAUCUCAGAUUCAUUCGGCGAUUUCGAAGUUCUGUCUCGAUUUCAAAGCUCGGUGAUUCAACCUCAGAUUCGUCCGGCGAGGAGAGUGAGCACCAUCAUCUACUAAGGUGAGCACCAUCGCUUCAGAAAAUCUCAAGCUCUCUCUCUCUCUCUCAAGUUCUUCCUUCCCGUCGAUUCUUCUCCUAAGGUUUUCAGUCAAUGUUUUGAAGAAUUUUAAUCUCUGUUUUUUAUUGAUCAGUUUGGAUUGAUCAAUCAGUGUUUUACACAUCUCAUUUAUUUUUCCCCAGAUCACCAGAACUGAUUUUUCAACCAGUGUUCUUUAUUUUUCACUCUUUGUUUUUUUAUUACCCUGUUUUAAACCCUAAAUUAGCAUCAACAAUAUUAGCAUGUUUUUUUCCUAUGCUGAUCUGGUUUUUGGUCCCAAUUCUGAUGUAUGCACAUAUUAUAAUUUUCUUAAUGGCAUUGUUGUUAGGGUUGCAAGGUUUAAUGGCUCUAGCUGAUUUUUAGGAGUUAAGUUUGUGAAUCUUUUGUACUUAUUCCAGUUACAAGAUUAGGGGCUUUAAGCAGGAAAUAAGAGUGAAAGAUGCGACUGUAAACAGAACUUACUGUCUACAUACAAAUAAAUAUGGAAGUCAAUUGUUCCAAUGAGUAAUAGAUAAAAAGAUUAUGAAUAAUGAAUGAUAGAAUGCUGCCAAGCUUACAAAUUAAUAUAUUUACUGAUUCUCAUUACUAAAGAGGUAUUUCUCUUCAAGUAAGGCUUUCAAGCUGGUAUAAGCCCUUCCCGAAUAAGAGUUGUUCUUAUAGUACUUGACAUUAAUGACUCUCGAUCUCAAAAACUCUUUUUCACUAGACGCUGUCCUUUUCCAGAAAAAUGAAAAUGCUUUAACAGCAUCAAGGACUAAAGAGGAAUUCUGGAAUGAUAAAAGGAACAUCAUUCGUGUGAACUAGGUGAAUAUAAGCAAUUAAAGUCUUUAAACAGGAACAAUGUUGAAUACUUCACAUCAAAUGUAUAUAUACAGCAGUAGAAGAGUAUUCAUACAAUCAUAUUGAACAACCGCAAUGAUAAUAUUUUUCAGUCGCACUGAAGGCAACAGGGUAUCAUCUUAUGUCAACAAUAAUAGGUAUGCCUUCAUUGUGCCUCACCCUCAGGUAUUUGUUAUAGUUAUUUAACCGAUAAUGGUAUGCAUUCAUCUUAUAUAUUUAUAAUGCUGAAUGAUGGAUAGCCAAAUACCUUCUAUGGUGGUUCAAAUUCUGUACACAUUUAACGACAUCUAGUAUUUAAGAAAUUUUUGUUGCAUGUUCUUGUCCGUAACUUUGAUGAACUUGCACAACUAACUAGUUAUCUUGAUUAUUGUCCUCUCAUCCAUGGCUGUGGUGGUUGUUUUUGCUGAAGUUUAUCAUUGAUACUGUAUUCUUUGUUCAGUCUUGUACAGGGAAAACCUUUGUUCAGUUGUUUCGAGCAUGGAUGCUUUGCCAUUUUGCUUCAUUUGUUGUGAAUUGAGAUCUGUGUAUGCAGGUAGUGUUGAGUAUAAUACAUCAUUACUAUCGGUGGUAUCUCCUGUCUUUUUCUUAUUCACUCUCUAGUUGAAAUAACUUACAAAUCCUCAUGCUUUUUGUGAACCCAUUACAUAGGCAGCAGCAGGUAUUUUCAUUAUUUUUAUUAGUUAUUACUUUAAGUUGCGCAGAGCUACUAUACAACUUAAACCUCUUAUUGAAUGAUAGGUUGUUGAUUCACUUAGUAGUCUUCCCACUGUUCGGUCAAUGUUACAUCAACAACAAUCUCAUGCAUUUUCAUCCCAAGAUGUUCACCUUUCAAAGAAAGAGAAGAAGAAAAAGAACUAACAAGGAACUGAUAUGCUGGCUGUUUUGUUGGCUGUUCUGAUCUUGUGUUGCUUGCUUUGCUGUUGGUUCAGGGUAUGUAUGGAACAGAUUUGCUGGGGGUGUGUAUAGAACAGAUUUGCUGGUAUUUCCAAAUAUUUAAAGCUAAAUUAAGUAUUAGGUUAGGUCCACCUAUGUCUUAUUUGCUGGGGGUGUGUAAAUUACCAUAGUCCACAUGCUUAAAUGUUUUGUGUGUUUGCAGCUGCCAUCUGUGCUUCUGAGUUACAUUUUUAUGCUACUAUUGCUUCUGAGUUGUGAGCAAAUUAUCUUACAAAAGCUUUUGUAACACAAGUUGUAAUUUUUGGUUGAUUGCCUUACUGGAUGGAUGGUGUGUUGGUCUAGUUGAUAAGAACAAGGCUGUGUGACUUUUGGCUGGUGUUGAUUUUUGCUGCCACAGGACUGCUGGAAAAAAGUUGAUCUCUUUAAUUGCUCUCGCUUUAAACUUGGAUGAAGACUUCUUCGAGAAAGAUGGGGCUUUCAAUCCACCAAUGCCAUUUCUUCGUCUUCUACACUAUCCUGGUUGAAUCAAAAUUUGACUUUAUCUGCUUUGUCUGUUAAGUCUUUCUUUUCAUUAUCUGGGUUCAUACAUGGACAGAUUCAGGAAUCUGUAUGAUGUGUGGUUUAUGAAAGGAGCAUAGCAUUCUAUUUGUAUGUCUUACUGUCAUGAGUACAAUUACAACACUUUGGGAUGGCAGGAUGUUAUCCAGAAAAUUGAGGAUGCAUAUGAAAAUGUAAUUGGAAAUUAA
This is a non-coding RNA of Camellia sinensis, 2697 nucleotides long. Lineage: Eukaryota; Viridiplantae; Streptophyta; Magnoliopsida; Ericales; Theaceae. The record is from RefSeq and is a predicted model, not a curated record.